GCAGGCUACUAAAUUUCUCUUAAAAUAAAAAUUUUUUUUAGUUUUUUGUUAGUUACUAUUUAAUGGAAACAUACAUAUUUAUAUAGUAAAUUAAGAAAAUGUGUGGUCAAUAACAGGAGCAGUUAUAAUAAUUGGAUGAGUAUUUCAAAAGUUAUUAAUGUUUUUAUAGCUAGGCAGGAGAAGGAGUGAAAAUUAUGAAAUGUCUAAUAGUAAGAGUAGCAGUACAUAUCCAUUACCUUCAGUCAGUACUUUAAAUUGUUAAUUAACGUAGUUCAUGCGAUAUGGAACGGCUACAUUGUUCAAACUGUCUCAACGCAACUGGCGUCAUUCGACUUGUCACCUUUUAAUAGAUUUGGCUAGUAGUGGUCUUCCACCUACAACCAGGAAAUUGUUUGAAAAACAAAACUUAGAGAAGUUCUACGGGUGAAAAGUUUAAUAAAUUUCUUAAAAAAAUCGAAUUAAUAAUUUUACUAAUUUAAACUACAGACUAAAAUGAAAACUAUAUUAAAUCUAACUUGUAAAUUAUAGAGGUAGAGGAAAACCAAUUAUUUCUAAAACUAGAUUUUUAAUUUUAAUUAUCAUCAACAACCUAGUCAUAAUUAUAAAAAUAUAAUAAAAACAACAAGUAUAUAUAUAUAUAUUAAAGAGUC
Long non-coding RNA from Daktulosphaira vitifoliae (grape phylloxera), 650 nucleotides. RefSeq lists it as uncharacterized. The transcript is spliced from 3 exons. The record is from RefSeq and is a predicted model, not a curated record. Lineage: Eukaryota; Metazoa; Arthropoda; Insecta; Hemiptera; Phylloxeridae.